GGGGAUUUAGCUCAGCGGCAUAAGCGCCUGCCUUGCAAGCAGGCAGUCGUGAGUUCCAUCCCCG
Cavia porcellus (domestic guinea pig) is the source of this 64-nucleotide non-coding RNA. The record is from Rfam. Lineage: Eukaryota; Metazoa; Chordata; Mammalia; Rodentia; Caviidae.